This 372-nucleotide ribosomal RNA is filed under the name uncultured bacterium. RNAcentral's name for it is "bacterial SSU rRNA". It matches the Rfam family "Bacterial small subunit ribosomal RNA", at positions 524 to 898 of the family's 1533-position model. The record is from RNAcentral.
UACGGAGGAUCCAAGCGUUAUCCGGAUUUAUUGGGUUUAAAGGGUGCGUAGGCGGCCUAUUAAGUCAGGGGUGAAAGACGGUAGCUCAACUAUCGCAGUGCCCUUGAUACUGAUGGGCUUGAAUGAACUAGAGGUAGGCGGAAUGUGACAAGUAGCGGUGAAAUGCAUAGAUAUGUCACAGAACACCGAUUGCGAAGGCAGCUUACUAUGGUUUUAUUGACGCUGAGGCACGAAAGCGUGGGGAUCAAACAGGAUUAGAUACCCUGGUAGUCCACGCCCUAAACGAUGAAUACUCGCUGUUGGCGAUACACAGUCAGCGGCUAAGCGAAAGCGUUAAGUAUUCCACCUGGGGAGUACGCUCGCAAGAGUGAA